Molecule: transfer RNA, 73 nt
Filed under: Cordylochernes scorpioides
Lineage: Eukaryota; Metazoa; Arthropoda; Arachnida; Pseudoscorpiones; Chernetidae
Description: tRNA-Thr
Rfam family: tRNA
About the family: Transfer RNA (tRNA) molecules are approximately 80 nucleotides in length. Their secondary structure includes four short double-helical elements and three loops (D, anti-codon, and T loops). Further hydrogen bonds mediate the characteristic L-shaped molecular structure. tRNAs have two regions of fundamental functional importance: the anti-codon, which is responsible for specific mRNA codon recognition, and the 3' end, to which the tRNAs corresponding amino acid is attached (by aminoacyl-tRNA synthetases). tRNAs cope with the degeneracy of the genetic code in two manners: having more than one tRNA (with a specific anti-codon) for a particular amino acid; and 'wobble' base-pairing, i.e. permitting non-standard base-pairing at the 3rd anti-codon position.
Source: RNAcentral
UCCAGGGUAGCCUAGUGGUCAUGGCAUCUGCCCGGUAAGCGGAAGGUCGUGGGUUCGAUUCCCAUCCCUUGAU